GCUGUGAGCUCGAUGAGUAGGGCGGGACACGUGGUAUCCUGUCUGAAUAUGGGGGGACCAUCCUCCAAGGCUAAAUACUCCUGACUGACCGAUAGUGAACCAGUACCGUGAGGGAAAGGCGAAAAGAACCCCGGCGAGGGGAGUGAAAAAGAACCUGAAACCGUGUACGUACAAGCAGUGGGAGCACGCUUCGGCGUGUGACUGCGUACCUUUUGUAUAAUGGGUCAGCGACUUAUAUUCUGUAGCAAGGUUAACCGAAUAGGGGAGCCGAAGGGAAACCGAGUCUUAACUGGGCGUUAAGUUGCAGGGUAUAGACCCGAAACCCGGUGAUCUAGCCAUGGGCAGGUUGAAGGUUGGGUAACACUAACUGGAGGACCGAACCGACUAAUGUUGAAAAAUUAGCGGAUGACUUGUGGCUGGGGGUGAAAGGCCAAUCAAACCGGGAGAUAGCUGGUUCUCCCCGAAAGCUAUUUAGGUAGCGCCUCGUGAAUUCAUCUCCGGGGGUAGAGCACUGUUUCGGCAAGGGGGUCAUCCCGACUUACCAACCCGAUGCAAACUGCGAAUACCGGAGAAUGUUAUCACGGGAGACACACGGCGGGUGCUAACGUCCGUCGUGAAGAGGGAAACAACCCAGACCGCCAGCUAAGGUCCCAAAGUCAUGGUUAAGUGGGAAACGAUGUGGGAAGGCCCAGACAGCCAGGAUGUUGGCUUAGAAGCAGCCAUCAUUUAAAGAAAGCGUAAUAGCUCACUGGUCGAGUCGGCCUGCGCGGAAGAUGUAACGGGGCUAAACCAUGCACCGAAGCUGCGGCAGCGACGCUUAUGCGUUGUUGGGUAGGGGAGCGUUCUGUAAGCCUGCGAAGGUGUACUGUGAGGUAUGCUGGAGGUAUCAGAAGUGCGAAUGCUGACAUAAGUAACGAUAAAGCGGGUGAAAAGCCCGCUCGCCGGAAGACCAAGGGUUCCUGUCCAACGUUAAUCGGGGCAGGGUGAGUCGACCCCUAAGGCGAGGCCGAAAGGCGUAGUCGAUGGGAAACAGGUUAAUAUUCCUGUACUUGGUGUUACUGCGAAGGGGGGACGGAGAAGGCUAUGUUGGCCGGGCGACGGUUGUCCCGGUUUAAGCGUGUAGGCUGGUUUUCCAGGCAAAUCCGGAAAAUCAAGGCUGAGGCGUGAUGACGAGGCACUACGGUGCUGAAGCAACAAAUGCCCUGCUUCCAGGAAAAGCCUCUAAGCAUCAGGUAACAUCAAAUCGUACCCCAAACCGACACAGGUGGUCAGGUAGAGAAUACCAAGGCGCUUGAGAGAACUCGGGUGAAGGAACUAGGCAAAAUGGUGCCGUAACU
This 1337-nucleotide ribosomal RNA is filed under the name Escherichia coli. RNAcentral describes it as "partial 23S ribosomal RNA". It matches the Rfam family "Bacterial large subunit ribosomal RNA", at positions 396 to 1735 of the family's 2925-position model. Lineage: Bacteria; Pseudomonadati; Pseudomonadota; Gammaproteobacteria; Enterobacterales; Enterobacteriaceae. The record is from RNAcentral.